This 21-nucleotide microRNA is filed under the name Gallus gallus (chicken). Its description in RNAcentral is "gga-miR-1629". The record is from miRBase by way of RNAcentral. Lineage: Eukaryota; Metazoa; Chordata; Aves; Galliformes; Phasianidae.
UGCUGUCGGUGGGUUUGUUCU